AGUGAACGCUGGCGGUAGGCCUAACACAUGCAAGUCGAACGGCAGCACAGUAAGAGCUUGCUCUUACGGGUGGCGAGUGGCGGACGGGUGAGGAAUACAUCGGAAUCUACUUUUUCGUGGGGGAUAACGUAGGGAAACUUACGCUAAUACCGCAUACGACCUACGGGUGAAAGCAGGGGAUCUUCGGACCUUGCGCGAUUGAAUGAGCCGAUGUCGGAUUAGCUAGUUGGCGGGGUAAAGGCCCACCAAGGCGACGAUCCGUAGCUGGUCUGAGAGGAUGAUCAGCCACACUGGAACUGGGACACGGUCCAGACUCCUACGGGAGGCAGCAGUGGGGAAUAUUGGACGAUGGGCGCAAGCCUGAUCCAGCCAUACCGCGUGGGUGAAGAAGGCCUUCGGGUUGUAAAGCACUUUUGUUGGGAAAGAAAAGCAGCAGGUUAAUACCACGCUGUUCUGACGGUACCCAAAGAAUAAGCACCGGCUAACUUCGUG
RNAcentral lists this ribosomal RNA (492 nucleotides) under uncultured bacterium. RNAcentral's name for it is "partial 16S ribosomal RNA". It matches the Rfam family "Bacterial small subunit ribosomal RNA", at positions 29 to 507 of the family's 1533-position model. The record is from RNAcentral.